Macaca mulatta (Rhesus monkey) is the source of this 906-nucleotide non-coding RNA. The record is from RefSeq and is a predicted model, not a curated record. Lineage: Eukaryota; Metazoa; Chordata; Mammalia; Primates; Cercopithecidae.
UCCGCCCUUCCCUCCCCCAUCCUGCGCGCUGCCUCCGCCUCCUUCUUCUGCCUCCACCCUCAACCCCCAUCCCAGCCUGACGGGAGCUAGCCCUCAGUCCUCCCGAGCUCUGGUUGUGAGCGCCGGACAAGUCCAAGGCGCCUCCUCCCAAUAUGGACAGCCGCUACACCAGCACUGCGGGCAUCGGGGACUUGAACCAGCUGAGCGCUGCCAUCCCGGCCACGCGAGUGGAGGUGUCCGUGUCCUGCAGAAAUCUUCUUGACAGAGACACAUUUUCUAAAUCUGAUCCAAUUUGUGUCUUAUAUGUACAAGGAGUUGGAAAUAAAGAAUGGAGAGAGAUUACUCUGGAUGUCACAUAGAAGAUGAACUGGAAGGAGAACAAAAGAAGAAGCAGAAAUGUAAGUUAGGAGGCUCUUUGGGUAGACCAUGAGAGGGACGAAAAGCUUGAAUUAGGCUGAUAAUAGGAGCUAUGGAGAGAAGUAAACAGCUGUGAGGCAUAUUUUGGAGUUAUAACUGAUAACUUAUGAGCUAGUGAUGAAUAGGAGUUGGCAGAUUAAAAAGAAAGACUUGAGAUUGAUGACUUUCAUUUAUGGCCUGAUAAAUCAAGCGGAUAGUGGUAGCAUUUAUUGACAAGAAGUAAACUUGGUAAGCCACCAGUAUUAGGGUGAUAUUUGUGAUACAAAAUAAUUAUUUUAUGUUUGGAUGAUACUUUUGAGGGAUCUAUAAAACAACCACUUAUAUAAGUUAAGAAAGCAGUUGUAUGCAUGAGUCUGUACCCAGAAGUGAGUCUCAGAGCUGAUGACAUGCCUUUGGAAGUUAUCGUGUAGAUGGUAUUUGAAACCGAAGAAAUUAUCCUGGUCUGUUUUGUGUUGCUAUAACAGAAUACCUGAGACCAGGUAAUUUAAA